Molecule: non-coding RNA, 29 nt
Filed under: Homo sapiens (human)
Lineage: Eukaryota; Metazoa; Chordata; Mammalia; Primates; Hominidae
Source: RNAcentral
UCCCUGCGAUGUAGGAAUGAUGGCUGUGU